CUCCCUGUGAGGGGAACAUUCUCAGGUCCACGGAGGACGGGGCUGUAGGCUGUGCCAAGAACCAAAGUGAAGAGCUCUAGGAAGGACAGUGGUGACCUACAGAAUACAGUUAUUACCCUCCUGUCACACCCAGGCACAGUGACAGAUGUCACAGCUGCCGACUGUCACCUCUUGGGACCAGAGAGAUGGUCGUGUUCUGAGGCAGGACCGCCUUGCUGUGAGGAUCUUCACCAGGUCAGAGGAGGAGACCCGUCCUGUCAGCAAAGGCAGCAGGUGAGAUCUGCUGGGAAUCAAGGAAUGAUUUUUCCAGAGUAUGGCUUCUGAGUACUGGAGUGGCUGAAUUGCUGCUGCUCAUCACAUCAUCAUUUUCCAGCACUGAAUGUAUGAAGGUAAUCCACAUCCAUAAUAAAGACGACCCUACAGAACCUGGCUUCCCCUACUACCAGCCUGGAGUUCCCAGUGAGGGUGACUGAAUUCUAAAUAGUUGCAGGUGUGAGGACUCAGGGAGGUGACAACUUUAAGAGGCCAAUCCGUGCCUCUUACAGGAGAUCCAGAAAGAAGGCAGUUUAGGUCUGAGUCUGAGGCAGCAUCGACAGGUCACACAACAGAGGAGGCCCAGGCAGUGUCAGGAGUCAAGGAGAGUG
This 644-nucleotide long non-coding RNA is filed under the name Fukomys damarensis (Damara mole-rat). RNAcentral's name for it is "lncRNA (ENSFDAG00000024104.1)". The record is from RNAcentral. Lineage: Eukaryota; Metazoa; Chordata; Mammalia; Rodentia; Bathyergidae.